AAAGCUCAAAUUUAAAAUCUGGCGGUCUUUGGCUGUCCGAGUUGUAAUCUAGAGAAGUGUUAUCCGCGCUGGACCGUGUACAAGUCUCCUGGAAUGGAGCGUCAUAGAGGGUGAGAAUCCCGUCUUUGACACGGACUGCCAGGGCUUUGUGAUGCGCUCUCAAAGAGUCGAGUUGUUUGGGAAUGCAGCUCAAAAUGGGUGGUAAAUUCCAUCUAAAGCUAAAUAUUGGCGAGAGACCGNUNGCGAA
This 247-nucleotide ribosomal RNA is filed under the name Hymenogastraceae sp. RNAcentral describes it as "partial 28S ribosomal RNA". It matches the Rfam family "Eukaryotic large subunit ribosomal RNA", at positions 104 to 344 of the family's 3401-position model. The record is from RNAcentral. Lineage: Eukaryota; Fungi; Basidiomycota; Agaricomycetes; Agaricales; Hymenogastraceae.